GAUGAACGCUGGCGGCGUGCUUAACACAUGCAAGUCGAACGAUGAAGCCCAGCUUGCUGGGUGGAUUAGUGGCGAACGGGUGAGUAACACGUGAGUAACCUGCCCUUGACUCUGGGAUAAGCCUGGGAAACUGGGUCUAAUACUGGAUAUGACUUCUCAUCGCAUGGUGGGGGGUGGAAAGAUUUAUUGGUCUUGGAUGGACUCGCGGCCUAUCAGCCUGUUGGUGAGGUAAUGGCUCACCAAGGCGACGACGGGUAGCCGGCCUGAGAGGGUGACCGGCCACACUGGGACUGAGACACGGCCCAGACUCCUACGGGAGGCAGCAGCGGGAAUAUUGCACAAUGGGCGCAAGCCUGAUGCAGCGACGCCGCGUGAGGGAUGACGGCCUUCGGGUUGUAAACCUCUUUCAGUAGGGAAGAAGCGAGAGUGACGGUACCUGCAGAAGAAGCGCCGGCUAACUACGUG
Molecule: ribosomal RNA, 465 nt
Filed under: uncultured bacterium
Lineage: Bacteria
Description: partial 16S ribosomal RNA
Rfam family: Bacterial small subunit ribosomal RNA
Source: RNAcentral